Aedes aegypti (yellow fever mosquito) is the source of this 811-nucleotide long non-coding RNA. RefSeq lists it as uncharacterized. The record is from RefSeq and is a predicted model, not a curated record. The transcript has 4 exons. NCBI's taxonomy places the organism in Eukaryota, Metazoa, Arthropoda, Insecta, Diptera, Culicidae.
AGUGGAAAUUAUAAGAUCUUUUUUAGUGGUUACAAGCUGUUUGAAAUCGCCAAAAAAAGUCGGAAAAUUAUAAGAAAAGUGUGGAAGUUUUUAGUAGGCCCAAGUGCAAGGGAACAGGCAUUCCCAUAUCUUAGUUUAAGAUAGUUGCUGUCGUCAAAUCAGCAAGACCAAGUAUCAUCUGCUCGAGGCUCAGGAACCGAAUCCUUCACGCGAAGGUGUUCCUGCCGGGUUCUAGAACCGGAAGUAGGUUGUAGGGGGAUUCGAACAUUACGAGUCUUCUGGGUGGAUCCGGAAGCUUGGCGGCUUGUAGGCUAUAGGCCUCGUCGUCCGGCCAGUGACCCAUCGUCGCACCUACGGGCCUGGGAGCAUUCCACGACUCCCGAGAAUUGCGCGCUGGAAGCCAAAUCAUCAGUGGCAUUCUCAUAUCGAUAGCCUCGAGACAGUUGGCGGUUCGAAAUCCAACCGAACUCGCAUGCAAGAAGCGCAUUAGCCAGGACACGCACCACUCACAGCAUCGUAGAAGCACCAAUCCAUUCGCCCUCGUCGUCGUCGUCGUUGUCGUCGACCGCUCGCUACAGCAACCAACAGUAGUCUAGGCUGGCCCACCGUUACAUCCAUCGUUGGACAUCGCCUGAGCUUGAGCCGAGCCAGAAAGAUCACGGUCAGAUUAGAUAAGCUAGAUAUAAGUAGGACAGUCCGUAUGUGUACCCUCGGACCAAAAGGGACUUAGUUAUUAGCACGGCCGUGCGCAAGUAAAAUUCCUAUUGGAAUCCAGAUAGGAGAAAAAGGCAAAACCGAAAAAUACAAUUCU